GUGUAAGUACAAGCCAAAUAUAAAAUGGUGAAACCGCGAAAAGCUCAUUAAAUCGGCUUUGGUUCCUUAGACAGUAUGCAGAUAGGAGCUCUUUUUGAAAGAGAAGAGCAAAAGUCUGAUUUGGAUAACUGUGGUAAUUCUAGAGCUAAUACAUGAAAAUGAAUCGGUGUGUAAUUUGUGUGUUAUUGCAGGCAAAUUUCGCACGCUUUUAUUAGAGAAAAAAGCCAAUUUAGUUUUUUUGAAACGAUGCGCUAGUUGAGUUGCGGUUGUCGGGGAGAUGAGUUGGCUUAAUUGCCUUUGAAUUUUCUCGGCACUGUUGCUUGUGCUGUGCGUCGACAAAAAAGAAUCAAUUAAAAAUGGUGUUGAAUCUGAAUAACUUAAACGGAUUUCGUUCGAAAGAAUUUGCGAUAGGAGCUGUCUCGGCAGUUGCGAUGUGCAUAUUUGACUAGAAUGGAAUUUAAAGCAGACUGCAUUUAAGCCCGUGCUCGACAUUUAGUUGCUGAUCGCUUUGUUGGCGGUGAGCAGUUAUACGAGUUUCGGUGUUUGCAGUGUGUCUUUCAAUUGUCCGCCUUAUCAACUUUCGAUGGUAGGUUACAUGCCUACCAUGGUUGUAACGGGUAACGGGGAAUCAGGGUUCGAUUCCGGAGAGGGAGCCUUAGAAACGGCUACCACAUCUAAGGAAGGCAGCAGGCACACAAAUUACCCACUCCCGGCACGGGGAGGUAGUGACGAUAAAUAACGAUCCGGAACUCUAAUGAGUUUCCGAAAUCGGAAUGAGUACAAUUUAAAUCCUUUAACGAGGAACUAAUGGAGGGCAAGUCUGGUGCCAGCAGCCGCGGUAAUUCCAGCUCCAUUAGCAUAUAUUAAAGUUGUUGCGUUUAAAAAGCUCGUAGUCGAAUCUAUAUCUUACGCUGUCGAUCGCUUGUGAUUUGAUUCGCGAGUUUGAUGGACAUUUUGUGUAAGAUAUCUCUGACGGCGGAUGUUCGUUGUUCGCUGCGCGAUUCGCGCUGUGAAUAUUUCGAUAAUUCGAUACGAUUAGCUUUUGCUUAUUUGGUUUUGAAGUAGUUCGAUGCGAUUAGCAAGCGGUCGUAAAGACGGACUAGUGAACUGACGGGGGCGCCGUACAUCGUGCGCGUUUGUCAUCAAGGUUCCUAGUGUGUUGACUGCGCGCGUUGCGUUGCAAAAUUGCUUUAGAACAAAGUCGAAAGUUUUUAUCGUAUUCUGAUUGGCGUUCGCGCUGGUGUAUGCGCGCAGUUUUCUAGCUUGAAGCUGUGCGUGCAGCAUGUUCGCUCAAUUGGGUCGUCAAUAUUACUUUGAAUAAAUUAGAGUGCUUAAAGCAGGCAUAUUGAACUGCCUUGAAUAUGAACAGCAUGGAAUAAUAGAAUAUGAUCUCGAUACCGUUUCUUUUCAAACGCACAUUGACGCUGUUGUUGGUGGUCGGUCAAACGAUUGCUAAAUUCGGUGUUUGUGCGCGUUUCUAAUUGGCUUAAAGAAGCAAACCUCUGGAGUUUCGAUUGAGAAAUGAAGGGUUUGUUUCGACGGUAU
RNAcentral lists this ribosomal RNA (1545 nucleotides) under Myrmecolax sp. 5 DPM-2011. RNAcentral's name for it is "bacterial SSU rRNA". It matches the Rfam family "Eukaryotic small subunit ribosomal RNA", at positions 57 to 967 of the family's 1831-position model. The record is from RNAcentral. Lineage: Eukaryota; Metazoa; Arthropoda; Insecta; Strepsiptera; Myrmecolacidae.